GGCUGGAUGGUCUAGGGGUGUGAUUCUCACUUAGGGAGCGAGAGGUCCAGGGUUCGAAUCCCGGUUCGGCCC
Angiostrongylus cantonensis (rat lungworm) is the source of this 72-nucleotide non-coding RNA. The record is from Rfam. Lineage: Eukaryota; Metazoa; Nematoda; Chromadorea; Rhabditida; Metastrongylidae.